UUAAAAUAUACGAGAAAAUACUAAUAUUUCUCUUAUUAAAAGCUUGAAGAGUUCCUACGUUCUUUUUCUUUUCUUUCCUUCUUUCUUUAAGUCUCUCUCUCUCUCUCUAGGAAACUCUUAAGGAAGUAAAGUGAAGAGGAAGUGUGAAGAAAUGAUGGGGAGAGGGUCCCUAUUUAUAGACAAAAUGGGCCGUCAAAUUUUCGCCAAGAGGUGCGAAUCCAUGAAAAGAGAGGGAGGAAAAGUUGACC
Molecule: long non-coding RNA, 248 nt
Filed under: Carica papaya (papaya)
Lineage: Eukaryota; Viridiplantae; Streptophyta; Magnoliopsida; Brassicales; Caricaceae
Description: long non-coding RNA (CPAP_LNC013238)
Source: RNAcentral